CGCACGGGUGAGUAACACGUGACUAACCUACCCUGGAGUGGGGGAUAACUGAGGGAAACCUUAGCUAAUACCGCAUAAUACCCACGGGUCAAAGGAGCAAUUCGCUCUGGGAGGGGGUCGCGGCCGAUUAGUUAGUUGGCGGGGUAACGGCCCACCAAGACGAUGAUCGGUAUCCGGCCUGAGAGGGCGCACGGACACACUGGAACUGAAACACGGUCCAGACUCCUACGGGAGGCAGCAGUGGGGAAUCUUGCACAAUGGGGGCAACCCUGAUGCAGCGACGCCGCGUGAGCGAUGAAGCCCUUCGGGGUGUAAAGCUCUUUCGGUAGGGAAGAUUAUGACGGUACCUGCAGAAGCAGCUGCGGCUAACUACGCGCCAGCAGCCGCGGUAAUACGUAGGCAGCGAGCGUUGUUCGGAGUUACUGGGCGUAAAGGGUGUGUAGGCGGUCGCCUAAGUUUGGUGUGAAAUCUCCCGGCUUAACCGGGAGGGUGCGCCGAAUACUGAGUGACUAGAGUGCGGGAGAGGAAAGUGGAAUUCCUGGUGUAGCGGUGAAAUGCGUAGAUAUCAGGAGGAACACCGGCGGUGCAGACGGCUUUCUGGACCGUAACUGACGCUGAAACACGAAAGCGUGGGUAGCAAACAGGAUUAGAUACCCUGGUAGUCCACGCCGUAAACGUUGGGCACUAGGUGUGGGCCCUAUCGACGGGUUCCGUGCCGCAGCUAACGCAUUAAGUGCCCCGCCUGGGGAGUACGGCCGCAAGGCUAAA
Molecule: ribosomal RNA, 768 nt
Filed under: uncultured bacterium
Lineage: Bacteria
Description: bacterial SSU rRNA
Rfam family: Bacterial small subunit ribosomal RNA
Source: RNAcentral